CUUUCCAGCCUCACGCCCGUGGGCUGCAGUUGGAACGAUGGCGGCGGCAGCUGCCGCCGGGCCUAGCCCGGGGUCUGGACCUGGGGACUCCCCAGAAGGGCCCGAGGGGGAGGCUCCGGAGCGUCGGCGGAAGGCGCACGGGAUGCUGAAGCUUUACUACGGCCUCUCGGAAGGGGAGGCGGCGGGACGCCCCGCGGGGCCCGACCCCCUGGACCCGACUGAUCUGAACGGGGCGCACUUCGACCCGGAAGUUUACCUAGACAAGCUGCGUAGAGAGUGCCCUCUGGCCCAGUUGAUGGACAGUGAGACGGACAUGGUGCGGCAGAUCCGGGCUCUAGACAGCGACAUGCAGACCCUGGUCUAUGAGAACUACAACAAGUUCAUCUCAGCCACAGGUGAUCCCCACGGGGACACACCCUCCAAAGU
This 426-nucleotide small RNA is filed under the name Pan troglodytes (chimpanzee). RNAcentral describes it as "retained intron". Lineage: Eukaryota; Metazoa; Chordata; Mammalia; Primates; Hominidae. The record is from RNAcentral.